This 491-nucleotide ribosomal RNA is filed under the name uncultured bacterium. RNAcentral describes it as "partial 16S ribosomal RNA". It matches the Rfam family "Bacterial small subunit ribosomal RNA", at positions 29 to 507 of the family's 1533-position model. The record is from RNAcentral.
AGUGAACGCUGGCGGUAGGCCUAACACAUGCCAGUCGAACGGCAGCACAGUAAGAGCUUGCUCUUACGGGUGGCGAGUGGCGGACGGGUGAGGAAUACAUCGGAAUCUACUUUUUCGUGGGGGAUAACGUAGGGAAACUUACGCUAAUACCGCAUACGACCUACGGGUGAAAGCAGGGGAUCUUCGGACCUUGCGCGAUUGAAUGAGCCGAUGUCGGAUAGCUAGUUGGCGGGGUAAAGGCCCACCAAGGCGACGAUCCGUAGCUGGUCUGAGAGGAUGAUCAGCCACACUGGAACUGAGACACGGUCCAGACUCCUACGGGAGGCAGCAGUGGGGAAUAUUGGACAAUGGGCGCAAGCCUGAUCCAGCCAUACCGCGUGGGUGAAGAAGGCCUUCGGGUUGUAAAGCCCUUUUGUUGGGAAAGAAAAGCAGCAGGUUAAUACCCCGCUGUUCUGACGGUACCCAAAGAAUAAGCACCGGCUAACUUCGUG